UUUAAAGCUUCAAACUGGGAUUAGAUACCCCACUAUUCUUGAUUUUAAAUAUAAUUAAAUUUACCAGAGUACUAUGAAUGGUUAAAAAUUUAAAACUCAAAGGGCUUGGCGGUGUUUUAGACCUAUCAGGGGAACCUGUCUCAUAAUCGACAAUCCACGCAAUAUCUGACCUUAUUUUGUAAUCAGUUUGUAUACCGUCGUCGUCAGGUAACUUUUAAAAAUAUAGAAGUUAGCAAUCAAAAUUACUUUGAGUUAAAACGUCAGAUCAAGGUGCAGCCUAUAAUAAGGAGAGGAUGGGUUACAAUUAUAAAAAUUAUAAUUACGGAAAUUUAAAUGAAAUUUAUUUUUGAAGGAGGACUUGAAAGUAAACUGGAAUAUAUAAAUAGUUUGAAUGAGGCUCUGAAACGUGCACACACCGCCCGUCACCCUCCUGCAGUCAA
This 440-nucleotide ribosomal RNA is filed under the name Nassarius pullus. RNAcentral's name for it is "partial 12S ribosomal RNA". The stretch from base 67 to 440 matches the Rfam family "Microsporidia small subunit ribosomal RNA", at positions 752 to 1216 of the family's 1311-position model. The record is from RNAcentral. Lineage: Eukaryota; Metazoa; Mollusca; Gastropoda; Neogastropoda; Nassariidae.